GAGUUGCGAACGGGUGAGUAACGCGUAGGUAACCUGCCUUGUAGCGGGGGAUAACUAUUGGAAACGAUAGCUAAUACCGCAUGACAGUAAAUAUCGCAUGAUAGCUACUUGAAAGGUGCAAAUGCACCACUACCAGAUGGACCUGCGUUGUAUUAGCUAGUUGGUGAGGUAACGGCUCACCAAGGCGACGAUACAUAGCCGACCUGAGAGGGUGAUCGGCCACACUGGGACUGAGACACGGCCCAGACUCC
Molecule: ribosomal RNA, 251 nt
Filed under: uncultured Streptococcus sp.
Lineage: Bacteria; Bacillati; Bacillota; Bacilli; Lactobacillales; Streptococcaceae
Description: partial 16S ribosomal RNA
Rfam family: Bacterial small subunit ribosomal RNA
Source: RNAcentral